CAUUGGAAUGCCUUCAAACACUCUCUUGUUAUGGUUGUUCGAAGAUGAAGAGUUUUCCGGAAAUCAAGGGUAAUAUGGGAAGUCUAAGAGAACUUGAUUUAAGUGAAACAGAUAUAAUAGAAGUACCAUCAUCAAUCAGGCAUCUACAUGGGCUUAAAACCUUGAAGUUAAGUGAUUGCUUAAACCUUGUGAGUCUUCAGGUCGGUAUUUGUAGUUUGAGCUCUCUUCAAACUCUUUUGAUGGAUGGGAGUUUAGAACUAAAGGCCUUUCUAGAUAUCAAUAUUGGAAGUCUAAAAGCCCUUGAAUGGUUAGAUUUGUCAUAUUGCGAAAACCUUGAGAGUCUUCCGGAUAGUAUUUGUAGUUUGACCUCUCUUCAAACUCUUUUGCUGAAUGGGUGUUCAAAACUGAAAGCCUUUCCAUACAUCAAUAUUGGAAGCCUCAAAGCUCUUGAAUUGUUAGCUUUGUCAUAUUGCGAAAACCUUGAGAGUCUUCCGGACAGUAUUUGUAAUUUGACAUCUCUUCAAACUCUCAUGUUAAAAGAGUGUUCAAAAUUGAAGGGCUUUCCAGAUAUCAAUAUUGGAAGUCUAAAAGCUCUUAAAUUGUUAGAUUUGUCAUAUUGCGAAAACCUGACAGUAUUUGUAGUUUGACCUCUCUUCAAACUCUUUUGCUGAAUGGGUGUUCAAAAUUGAAGGCUUUUCCGGAUAUUAAUAUUGCAAAUCUAAAAGCUCUUGAAUUGUUAGAUUUUUCAUAUUGUGAAAACUUUGGGAGUCUUCCAGAUAGGAUUUGUAGCUUAACCUCUCUUCAAACUCUUUUGUUGAAAAAGUGUUCAAAAUUGAAGGCCUUUCCAGAUAUCAAUAUUGGAAGUCUAAAAGCUCUUAAAUUGUUAGAUUUGUCAUAUUGCGAAAACCUUAAGAGUCUUCCAGACAGUAUUUGUAGUUUGACCUCUCUUCAAACUCUUUUUUUGAAUGGGUGUUCAAAAUUGAAGGCCUUUCCAGAUAUCAAUAUUGGAAGUCUAAAAGCUCUUGAAUUGUUAGAUUUGUCAUAUUGCAAAAACCUUGAGAGUCUUCCGCAUAGUAUUUGUAGUUUGACCUCUCUCCAAACACUUUUGUUGAAUGGGUGUUCAAAACUGAAGGCCUUUCCAGAUAUCAAUAUUGGAAGUCUAAAAGCUCUUAAAUUGUUAGAUUUGUCUUAUUGCAUAUACCUUGAGAGUCUUCCGCACAGUAUUUGUAGUUUGACCUCUCUUCAAACUCUUUUGUUGAAUGGGUGUUCAAAAUUGAAGGCCUUUCCAUGUAUCAAUAUUGGAAGUCUAAAAGCUCUUAAAUUGUUAAAUUUGUCAUAUUGCGAAAACCUUGAGAGUCUUCCGGAUAGUAUUUGUAAUUUGACCUCUCUUCAAACUCUUUUGCUGAAUGGGUGUUCAAAACUGAAGGCCUUUCCAGAUAUCAAUAUUGGAUGUCUAAAAGCCCUUGAAUUGUUAGACUUCUCAUAUUGCAAAAACCUUGAGAGUCUUCCGCACAGUAUUUGUAGUUUGACCUCUCUUCAAACUCUUUUGCUGAAUGGGUGUUCAAAACUAAAGGCUUUUCCAGAUAUCAAUGUUGGAAGUCUAAAAGUUCUAGAAUUGUUAGAUUUGUCAUAUUGCGAAAGCCUUGAGAGUUUUCCGGACAGUAUUUGUAGUUUGACCUCUCUUCAAACUCUUUGGCUGAAUGGGUGUUCAAAACUGAAGGUCUUUCCAGAUGUCAAUAUUGGAAGUCUAAAAGCUCUUGAAUUGUUAGAUUUGUCAUGUUGUAAAAAGCUUGAGAGUCUUCCGAUGAGCAUUUGCAAUUUGAGCUCUCUCAAAACUCUGCGGAUUAAAGAUUGUCCAAAACUCAAGGGAAUAUUAAAGAUGAACCUAGGGGUUGAUUUAUGCUCCUCGAGAUCUUUGAAUCUGACUUGUCACAUUUCAAAUUCAGGAGUAAUCUGGGAUAAUGACUGCUUUUCCUCAUUAAAAGCAUUAAAUCCAUGGUGCCCCCUGUCAUCACUGGUAGAAUUAUCUGUAAGAAACUCUAAUCUCAUGGAACGAGACAUCCUCAGUGCUAGUUUUCGCUUAUCCUCAAUGCAAAUAUUAUCUCUAAGGAACUUCCCUUUGAUGGUAGGAGGAAUCCUUGAUGACAUUUUCCAUCUAUCUUCAUUGGUAGAAUUAUCUCUUAGUGAAUGCAAUCUGAUGGAAGUAGGAACCCUCCAUUAUGUUUGGAACCUAUCUUCACUGCUAAGAUUAUAUCUAAGAAACUGUAAUCUAAUGGAAGGAGAGAUCCCCAAUCAUAUUUGGCACCUAUCAUCAUUG
This 2317-nucleotide long non-coding RNA is filed under the name Vitis vinifera (wine grape). RNAcentral describes it as "long non-coding RNA (VVIN_LNC006293)". The record is from RNAcentral. Lineage: Eukaryota; Viridiplantae; Streptophyta; Magnoliopsida; Vitales; Vitaceae.